CCUACGGGUGGCAGCAGUGAGGAAUAUUGGUCAAUGGGCGCGAGCCUGAACCAGCCAAGCCGCGUGCGGGAAGAAGGUACUGUGUAUCGUAAACUUCUUUUGUCAGGGGGUAAUUGCAGAUACUAGUACCCGUAUGAAGGUACCUUAUGAAUAAGCAUCGGCUAACUCCGUGCCAGCAGCCGCGGUAAUACGGGGAAUCCGAACGUUAUCCGGAUUUAUUGGGUUAAAAGGGUGCGAAGGCGUCCUGUUAAGUAAGCGGGAAAAGCCCGGGGCUCAACACGGACGUGCCGUUGAAACUGGCGGGCUAGAGUUGGGUAGAGGUACGCGGAAUGCGAGGUGUAGCGGUGAAAUGCUUAGAGAUCGCGCAGAACCCCGAUUGCGAAGGCAGCGUACCGGGUCCACACUGACGCUGAGGUACGAAAGCGUGGGUAGCGAACAGGAUUAGAUACCCUAGUAGUC
This 459-nucleotide ribosomal RNA is filed under the name uncultured bacterium. Its description in RNAcentral is "partial 16S ribosomal RNA". It matches the Rfam family "Bacterial small subunit ribosomal RNA", at positions 338 to 795 of the family's 1533-position model. The record is from RNAcentral.